Molecule: unclassified non-coding RNA, 202 nt
Filed under: Hevea brasiliensis (rubber tree)
Lineage: Eukaryota; Viridiplantae; Streptophyta; Magnoliopsida; Malpighiales; Euphorbiaceae
Source: RNAcentral
ACCACCUUGAAUAUCCCAGCCCAUAAAUAUGUCUGGGUCAAAAGAAUUAAUCAUCUUUAUGAUAUGAAAAAACACUUGCCUCUCUUCAAUGAAAGUUAAAACUUUACAUUCAGAUACUCCAUCAAGGUUUCUUUGAACUGAUUCACCAUUGCAAUGCAAAAGUACAUGAGUAUCAGAUCCAAAAUCAUCAUCUUCCUGAAAA